AUGCAGUCGAGCGGAUGAGAGGAGCUUGCUCCUCGAUUCAGCGGCGGACGGGUGAGUAAUGCCUAGGAAUCUGCCUAGUAGUGGGGGACAACGUUUCGAAAGGAACGCUAAUACCGCAUACGUCCUACGGGAGAAAGUGGGGGAUCUUCGGACCUCACGCUAUUAGAUGAGCCUAGGUCGGAUUAGCUAGUUGGUAGGGUAAAGGCCUACCAAGGCGACGAUCCGUAACUGGUCUGAGAGGAUGAUCAGUCACACUGGAACUGAGACACGGUCCAGACUCCUACGGGAGGCAGCAGUGGGGAAUAUUGGACAAUGGGCGAAAGCCUGAUCCAGCCAUGCCGCGUGUGUGAAGAAGGCCUUCGGGUCGUAAAGCACUUUAAGUUGGGAGGAAGGGCUCAUAGCGAAUACCUGUGAGUUUUGACGUUACCAACAGAAUAAGCACCGGCUAACUUCGUGCCAGCAGCCGCGGUAAUACGAAGGGUGCAAGCGUUAAUCGGAAUUACUGGGCGUAAAGCGCGCGUAGGUGGCUUGAUAAGUUGGAUGUGAAAUCCCCGGGCUCAACCUGGGAACUGCAUCCAAAACUGUCUGGCUAGAGUGCGGUAGAGGGUAGUGGAAUUUCCAGUGUAGCGGUGAAAUGCGUAGAUAU
RNAcentral lists this ribosomal RNA (646 nucleotides) under Pseudomonas oryzihabitans. RNAcentral describes it as "bacterial SSU rRNA". It matches the Rfam family "Bacterial small subunit ribosomal RNA", at positions 55 to 697 of the family's 1533-position model. The record is from RNAcentral. Lineage: Bacteria; Pseudomonadati; Pseudomonadota; Gammaproteobacteria; Pseudomonadales; Pseudomonadaceae.